This 1618-nucleotide long non-coding RNA is filed under the name Homalodisca vitripennis (glassy-winged sharpshooter). Its description in RNAcentral is "uncharacterized LOC124358057, transcript variant X2". Lineage: Eukaryota; Metazoa; Arthropoda; Insecta; Hemiptera; Cicadellidae. The record is from RNAcentral.
ACACUUCAAAAUAGUCUGCUCCUGCACCAGGUGUAGCUCCCUGGAACUCGGCUGGAACACCUCUCAGGAACCCUGUAAGAUGAGCUUGGAUGUUCUCCACCGAGUCCCAGUGCUUUCCCUUCAACUCUCUCUUCAGUCGUGGGAACAUAAAUAGUCUGCUCCUGCACCAGGUGUAGCUCCCUGGAACUCGGCUGGAACACCUCUCAGGAACCCUGUAAGAUGAGCUUGGAUGUUCUCCACCGAGUCCCAGUGCUUUCCCUUCAACUCUCUCUUCAGUCGUGGGAACAUAAAUAGUCUGCUCCUGCACCAGGUGUAGCUCCCUGGAACUCGGCUGGAACACCUCUCAGGAACCCUGUAAGAUGAGCUUGGAUGUUCUCCACCGAGUCCCAGUGCUUUCCCUUCAACUCUCUCUUCAGUCGUGGGAACAUAAAUAGUCUGCUCCUGCACCAGGUGUAGCUCCCUGGAACUCGGCUGGAACACCUCUCAGGAACCCUGUAAGAUGAGCUUGGAUGUUCUCCACCGAGUCCCAGUGCUUUCCCUUCAACUCUCUCUUCAUUCGUGGGAACAUAAAUAGUCUGCUCCUGCACCAGGUGUAGCUCCCUGGAACUCGGCUGGAACACCUCUCAGGAACCCUGUAAGAUGAGCUUGGAUGUUCUCCACCGAGUCCCAGUGCUUUCCCUUCAACUCUCUCUUCAGUCGUGGGAACAUAAAUAGUCUGCUCCUGCACCAGGUGUAGCUCCCUGGAACUCGGCUGGAACACCUCUCAGGAACCCUGUAAGAUGAGCUUGGAUGUUCUCCACCGAGUCCCAGUGCUUUCCCUUCAACUCUCUCUUCAGUCGUGGGAACAUAAAUAGUCUGCUCCUGCACCAGGUGUAGCACCCUGGAACGUCUCUCAGGAACCCUGUAAGAUGAGCUUGGAUGUUCUCCACCGAGUCCCAGUGCUUUCCCUUCAACUCUCUCUUCAUUCGUGGGAACAUAAAUAGUCUGCUCCUGCACCAGGUGUAGCUCCCUGGAACUCGGCUGGAACACCUCUCAGGAAUCCUGUAACAUGAGCUUGGAUGUUCUCCACCGAGUCCCAGUGCUUUCCCUUCAACUCUCUCUUCAGUCGUGGGAACAUAAAUAGUCUGCUCCUGCACCAGGUGUAGCUCCCUGGAACUCGGCUGGAACACCUCUCAGGAAUCCUGUAACAUGAGCUUGGAUGUUCUCCACCGAGUCCCAGUGCUUUCCCUUCAACUCUCUCUUCAGUCGUGGGAACAUAAAUAGUCUGCUCCUGCACCAGGUGUAGCUCCCUGGAACUCGGCUGGAACACCUCUCAGGAACCCUGUAAGAUGAGCUUGGAUGUUCUCCACCGAGUCCCAGUGCUUUCCCUUCAACUCUCUCUUCAGUCGUGGGAACAUAAAUAGUCUGCUCCUGCACCAGGUGUAGCUCCCUGGAACUCGGCUGGAACACCUCUCAGGAAUCCUGUAACAUGAGCUUGGAUGUUCUCCACCGAGUCCCAGUGCUUUCCCUUCAACUCUCUCUUCAGUCGUGGGAACAUAAAUAGUCUGCUCCUGCACCAGGUGUAGCUCCCUGGAACUCGGCUGGAACACCUCUCAGGAAUCCUGUAACAUGAGCUUGG